AUACGUAGGGGGCAAGCGUUAUCCGGAUUUACUGGGUGUAAAGGGAGCGUAGGCGGCAAGGCAAGUCUGAUGUGAAAACCCGGGGCUCAACCCCGGGACUGCAUUGGAAACUGCUUAGCUAGAGUGUCGGAGAGGUAAGUGGAAUUCCUAGUGUAGCGGUGAAAUGCGUAGAUAUUAGGAGGAACACCAGUGGCGAAGGCGACUUACUGGACGAUAACUGACGCUGAGGCUCGAAAGCGGUGGGGAGAC
Molecule: ribosomal RNA, 249 nt
Filed under: uncultured bacterium
Lineage: Bacteria
Description: partial 16S ribosomal RNA
Rfam family: Bacterial small subunit ribosomal RNA
Source: RNAcentral